RNAcentral lists this long non-coding RNA (369 nucleotides) under Zostera marina. Its description in RNAcentral is "long non-coding RNA (ZMAR_LNC004778)". The record is from RNAcentral. Lineage: Eukaryota; Viridiplantae; Streptophyta; Magnoliopsida; Alismatales; Zosteraceae.
GGGGGUUUGGGGGUUUUGGGAUAGUUUUAAUUUUUCACGAUUUGGGGGUUUUAUUUUUUUAAUUUAAAAUAUCUUUUAAAUAUCUUUUAAUAAAUGAAGUUAAUAAAUAUUUUUAAUUUAAAAUAUCUUUUUAAAUAUCUUUCUAAUUUAAUAAAUAUUUUUUAUAUUUAAAUUAUUCACUAAAUUAAAAAGAAGUUAUUUGGAAUUUAUAACUUUCAAAUAACAUUUUAAUUUAAUUUUUCACUUUAAAAUUUAAAAUAUAAAAAAAAACUUUAUUUUAUAACUUCUUUAAUUUUUUUUAAUUUAAAAUAAACUUAUUUUAUAACUUUUAAAAUAUCUAAUUUAUUAAAUUUAAUUUUAGAAUUUAAA